CUGCGGGUGGCUGCAGUGGGGAAUAUUGGACAAUGGGCGAAAGCCUGAUCCAGCCAUGCCGCGUGUGUGAAGAAGGCCUUCGGGUUGUAAAGCACUUUCAGUGGGGAAGAAAGCCUUGGGGCUAAUACCCUCGAGGAAGGACAUCACCCACAGAAGAAGCACCGGCUAACUCCGUGCCAGCAGCCGCGGUAAUACGGAGGGUGCGAGCGUUAAUCGGAAUUACUGGGCGUAAAGCGCGCGUAGGCGGUCUGAUAAGCCGGUUGUGAAAGCCCCGGGCUCAACCUGGGAACGGCAUCCGGAACUGUCAGGCUAGAGUGCAGGAGAGGAAGGUAGAAUUCCCGGUGUAGCGGUGAAAUGCGUAGAGAUCGGGAGGAAUACCAGUGGCGAAGGCGGUCUUCUGGACUGACACUGACGCUGAGGUGCGAAAGCGUGGGUAGCAAACAGGAUUAGAUACCCCGGUAGUC
This 464-nucleotide ribosomal RNA is filed under the name Vreelandella stevensii. RNAcentral describes it as "partial 16S ribosomal RNA". It matches the Rfam family "Bacterial small subunit ribosomal RNA", at positions 339 to 795 of the family's 1533-position model. The record is from RNAcentral. Lineage: Bacteria; Pseudomonadati; Pseudomonadota; Gammaproteobacteria; Oceanospirillales; Halomonadaceae.